UGCAGGGGUGUUGCGAGGACUUAGAGGUCGUGCGCCGGCCGAAGCAGCAAGAGCAAUGAUCUGGCGGCCUCUCUUCUCUGCCACAGUUCCCUUCUCUUCAUUCAGCUCUCGAGACGUCGACCUGCAGGUGCUAGAGUUUGUCCGUGUGUUGUUUAUGCUCAGGUUUAAUCUCCACAAAAGAUGGCCCACACUACUUUACAAGGAACUGCUGUUGUCCAGUUUAGAGGCAAACCAUUGUUUAACAACGGAUAUGCGGAGGCGUUUUUAUGGAUGUGCAUUUCCCCUGAAUCUAGACAGCUAUUCAACCUGUUGCGGACAUUUUUGGUGGAAUUCAAUGCUUCAGCAGAUGUGCCGGCGCUGCUGCCUGCGCCUUCUCCAGCGCCGCCUCGGUCACCAGCGCCAACUCCGGUCAGUGGUCUCCGGCACGCCCUCGCGGCUGGACGAGGCAGAGAUGUGCCGAGGAUCCCCACGCCCUUGGUUCUCAUGUUCUCUGCUCCCAGCCGCAGCAGAUCGUGCCAAAGGCAUUAUCGUGAGGAGGGAAGCGGCUGCAGAUUAAGGACAACGCGGGUUAAGAGCAUGGUCAUAGUCUAGGAGCACGCCCGGUGGUCGUUUUGGGAUUGGAGACAUCACCCUUCUUGUCCGCUGCCCAACUCCGUCGCAGCCCAGGCCUAGCAGGCGAUAGAGGCACGGCGAGGACUCACUGCAAAGAAGCCAUGGGAGGAGGACCCCGACUCGGAUGACGGCUGCUGGAAGAUCACGCACUUAUUCGGCCCACAGACAGGCUCCGCUUAUGGCUUAUCCAAGGU
Molecule: ribosomal RNA, 806 nt
Filed under: Triticum aestivum (bread wheat)
Lineage: Eukaryota; Viridiplantae; Streptophyta; Magnoliopsida; Poales; Poaceae
Description: partial small subunit ribosomal RNA
Source: RNAcentral